CCUACGGGAGGCUGCAGUGAGGAAUAUUGGUCAAUGGGCGCGAGCCUGAACCAGCCAAGUCGCGUGAGGGAAGACGGCCCUACGGGUUGUAAACCUCUUUUGCCGGGGAGCAACGGGCGCCACGUGUGGCGCCACUGAGAGUACCAGGAGAAAAAGCAUCGGCUAACUCCGUGCCAGCAGCCGCGGUAAUACGGAGGAUGCGAGCGUUAUCCGGUUUUAUUGGGUUGAAAGGGUUCGUAGGCGGAGCGUAAAGUCAGUGGUCAAAUUGAGGGGCACAACCCCUUCCCGCCAUUGAAUCUGGCGCUCUGAGUGUAACAUAAGUAUGCGGAAUGCGUGGUGUAGCGGUGAAAUGCAUAGAUAUCACGCAGAACCCCGAUUGCGAAGGCAGCAUGCCGGCUUCCGACUGACGCUGAAGCACGAAAGCGUGGGGAUCGAACAGGAUUAGAUACCCCAGUAGUC
RNAcentral lists this ribosomal RNA (459 nucleotides) under uncultured bacterium. RNAcentral describes it as "partial 16S ribosomal RNA". It matches the Rfam family "Bacterial small subunit ribosomal RNA", at positions 338 to 795 of the family's 1533-position model. The record is from RNAcentral.